ACGCACUGUCUUUGAACCGGUGAGUUGCCCUUUGCCGUGGCGUCACUGGCCAGGCAUCAGUGCCAGAGUAAACCGCAUGUUCAUAACUGGUGCUUCUUGGCAAACCUCCUGGGUCGCACUUUUAAAAACAUGCAACACUU
This 140-nucleotide small nucleolar RNA is filed under the name Leptobrachium leishanense (Leishan spiny toad). The record is from RNAcentral. Lineage: Eukaryota; Metazoa; Chordata; Amphibia; Anura; Megophryidae.